Molecule: non-coding RNA, 72 nt
Organism: Cymbomonas tetramitiformis
Lineage: Eukaryota; Viridiplantae; Chlorophyta; Pyramimonadophyceae; Pyramimonadales; Pyramimonadaceae
Source: the annotation of a GenBank genome assembly
GCUGUUGUAGCUUAGUGGUAGAGCGCGCCCUUCGUAAGGGUGAGGUCACGAGUUCAAUCCUCGUCAAUAGUA